Arachis ipaensis is the source of this 864-nucleotide non-coding RNA. NCBI's taxonomy places the organism in Eukaryota, Viridiplantae, Streptophyta, Magnoliopsida, Fabales, Fabaceae. The record is from RefSeq and is a predicted model, not a curated record.
CUUCUCCCUCCGACGUCCAAAGUGUAGAAACGUAAUUCUCCCAAAUUCCCUCGUUCAAACCCAAAUUCACACCAUUCUUCGCUGCUGUCGUUGCUGCGUCACGGUUGCGCCGCCAUCGCUCCUCCUGCUCACGCCGCCGUCGCGCUUUGUUGCUGCCGUGCCGCUGUCGCUCAUCACAUUCGCGCCACCGGCGCUCCUUCUCUCUGUUGUCGCCGUCGCUCCUCCUUCUCCGCUCUCUCUUACACGUCUUCUCUCUCUCAACCGAGCUCACAAAAAUUAGGUGAUUAACUUAAGAGGAGCUGAACAGAUCAUUUCGCUCCCAAUGAAAUGACAUUCAGUGGUGUGAUGAUGAUAUUGAGGAGAGUUACAAGGAGCCUCCACCGUAUAAGUACCCUGAGUGUGAUUGCGGAGCUGGUGUCUGUAGAAAGGUCGAGGAUCCGGAUGUCCAUAAGUACUAUUUUGCUUGCCCUGUUCCACGGGUGAUCAAACUUACAGUGAGAAGCCAGGACAUGAUUUUGCUUUGAAUGCAACCUAUGAUGAUGUGAAUGCUUCAAGCUAUGAUGCUCUAGUCAUUCCUAGAGGUCGUGCACCUGAGUAUUUGGCACAAUGAAUCUGUCAUUGCAUUAGUGAAGCAUUUUAUGGAAAGCAAGAAGCUAGUUGCAUCCAUCUGCCAUGGCCAACAGAUUUUAGCUGCUGCAGAUGUGCUCAAGGUACUCUUAGAUCAUGUUUGAUAUAUUUCACAUACAUUUGUUCCUCAACGAGCACUGAAGUUGAGCUGUGUAGGCGAAACGUGUGCAGUGUCUACAUUGAUUUUAUUCUUAAAUUAGCAUGAUGUAAAUUGUUCACAUUAAUUUGUUAACGCUU